AACUGUCAGUGCUACGCUAACAGUUGGGCUAGAUGAUCUUCAGCAUCCUUUCCAACCUAGAUGAUUCUGUGAACUUACAAAUCUCAACCUUUUAAGAAGUUUGGCCAUAACCCACACAACACACUGCUGUAUUUGGAAAUCUUUUUCAAGCUAAUGAUACCUCCUCAACAAGGAUGGCAUCCACUUUAUCAAAAUACGUUGAUUGCAAAAUGCAAUAGAAAGCAGAAAUAGUCAAUCUGACUGUACAGCCAUGAAAAAAAGAAUCACUCCUGCACAUACAGCACCUGCAGGUAGUGCUUGUGACUGCUGCAACACACUGAGUUUUAAUUUGGUUGGAACGGUAUUUUCAACAGACCCUAUGGAAUACAUCUGAACUGUACAUUAUAUCACCAGGCAGGGCUGUUCAUAUUCUUCCUAUCUGAUGUUCAAAUGACAUCAGGUUUACUACUCACUAAUGUAUGCUUCUAAAUAUCCAUGUGGUAAUAAAUAUGGCACUACUUUAGACUACAGUGUAAUAGAACAUCUUGCAGUCAUCUGUAAUGUUCUGUGGAUCACUAUGGAUCUGUACAUAUUUUAUGCUUAUAUUUAAAAAAAAAAAAUAGACUAGUUAUUUUCCAAUUAAAUAUCACAGCCCAAAUGUGCAACAUAAAAAUACUGUGUGAUAUUUAGCUUUUUUGUCGUAUAUGCUCGCCUCUUUUUACUAAACCUGGAGGUUACACACAAGUACUAAGAGGACACAACUUACGUGUUUCAGUACAAGAUCUUCGUUUCCACAACCUCGUCUUUGAUCCUGCAAUGCAGUCAAAAUGUAGACUGUGUAACAUCUGAUUAUAGUCAUCAUUUCCCUAGCAACAGACUGAUAUCCUCAAUACAUUAUACAGUAUACUUCAGGAAACAGGGCAUGCUGUAAGAAAAAGAUGGAUGACUUAACAGGUCUUUUUCAUCUAUAAUUCUCACCUAGGAAAAGAAUUAAGAACUCUGUCUGGACAGAAACACAUUUUCAUUUUGUUUGGAAGUGCAAACACCAAUGCCAUAUAAUAAUAAUGAUCCUAUGGAAAUUGCUACCACUGUGGUGGUUUUAUGGAGCCCUCCUCCCAAAAAAAUUAAAAAAUGCAACCACCCAGAUUAGUAACCGAUAAAUAGGACACGGACACCUCCUGGUGGCACUGGGUAGUAUUUUAAAUUAGAAGGAUUAGAAAUUAAACUGACCUAUAGAAACAAAGGUCCAAACGGUGAAUCUGGGAUGAUUAAGGUGUUGAGAAAAUUCUUUGGAAAUUAUGAGAGCAAAGUAUUGUAAACACAUAUUUUGCAUGAUUGAAUUACAGCCUUAGCUUUUGUCCUUAAUCUUUUAAAACACUGUUUUUCAGAGCUUCCCCAAGAUGUGCAUCCACACCCAAGUAAGAUCAUAACUACUGGAAAUAAAACUGUGGUUUUAAAGUAAGCCUUGCAGCUGCUUCCAGUAGAAGAUCUGAAAUCAGAAAUGCAACUCUGAUUCUCCUUGUAUUCAUACAAAUUCA
Long non-coding RNA from Athene cunicularia (burrowing owl), 1517 nucleotides. RefSeq lists it as uncharacterized. The transcript has 3 exons. The record is from RefSeq and is a predicted model, not a curated record. NCBI's taxonomy places the organism in Eukaryota, Metazoa, Chordata, Aves, Strigiformes, Strigidae.